CAGUCGUGCCGGCGUUGGAUUCAGCUUGCUUCGCGGAGCAGGCGUAUUUCUGCGCAUGGCAGGUCAGCGUCAGUUUGGGCGGUCGGAUAAAGGCUUCGGGAAUGUAGCUCCCCUCGGGGAUGUUAUAGCCCGGAGUGCCAUGCGACCAGCCUGGACUGAGGUCCGCGCAUCUGCUAGGAUGCUGGCGUAAUGGCUGUAAG
RNAcentral lists this ribosomal RNA (200 nucleotides) under Paraglomus laccatum. Lineage: Eukaryota; Fungi; Glomeromycota; Glomeromycetes; Paraglomerales; Paraglomeraceae. The record is from RNAcentral.